This 253-nucleotide ribosomal RNA is filed under the name uncultured bacterium. RNAcentral's name for it is "partial 16S ribosomal RNA". It matches the Rfam family "Bacterial small subunit ribosomal RNA", at positions 524 to 776 of the family's 1533-position model. The record is from RNAcentral.
UACGUAGGGGGCAAGCGUUGUCCGGAAUCAUUGGGCGUAAAGAGCGUGUAGGCGGCCCGGUAAGUCCGCUGUGAAAGUCCAGGGCUCAACCCUGGGAUGCCGGUGGAUACUGUCGGGCUCGAGUCCGGAAGAGGAGUGUGGAAUUCCUGGUGUAGCGGUGAAAUACGCAGAUAUCAGGAGGAACACCAAUGGCGAAGGCAGCACUCUGGGACGUGACUGACGCUGAGACGCGAAAGCGUGGGGAGCAAACAGG